GCACAUACAAAACCCUCUCUAUGAAGGGUUGUAUUCUUGGAAAGGCUGAGGUGAUGGAAGGCUCCCCCUCCUCCCACACUCACAACAACUCCAGAGUGGGGAGAAGAGAACUGAAGAGGAAGGGAGGUUCUCGGUAAGCCAGGUAGCUUCCAGAGAAGAAGGUCCUACAAGGAUGAAGUCAACUCCAAUGCUUGGAUUUCUCCACAACCUGGCCCCACCUUACCUCUCCAGCCUCAGGACCAUAGCACGCACGGUGGAAAGGGCUCAGGAUUAGGAGUAAGACUUGAGAACUUGGAUGAAUGCAAUAUCACAGAUCCAGAAAGUGAAGAUGAAACUCACUGCUCGUCUCCUGAUAGAGAGGCGACGGACUUGAGAUGCACAGAGACAAAUAUAUUUUUGGCCAAGGCUAA
Long non-coding RNA from Phascolarctos cinereus (koala), 410 nucleotides. RefSeq lists it as uncharacterized. The record is from RefSeq and is a predicted model, not a curated record. Lineage: Eukaryota; Metazoa; Chordata; Mammalia; Diprotodontia; Phascolarctidae.